Long non-coding RNA from Polyodon spathula (Mississippi paddlefish), 958 nucleotides. RefSeq lists it as uncharacterized. The transcript has 4 exons. Lineage: Eukaryota; Metazoa; Chordata; Actinopteri; Acipenseriformes; Polyodontidae. The record is from RefSeq and is a predicted model, not a curated record.
GCCGAGCCGAGCCGAGCCGAGCCGAGCCCGCUGGCCCCGCAGCACGCUGUACUGUAGAAGUUACUUCGCGAUAUCGGCUGCUUGAUGCACGCAAAUAAGAGUCCCGUUGCAGGGCAGCCCGAUAGCCAGUCCAGGUUUUACAAUCACUAAUAAGAGUCCCGUUGCCAGUCCAGGUUUUACAAUCACUAAUAAGAGUCCCGUUGCAGAGCAGCCCGAUAGCCAGUCCAGGUUUUACAAUCACUAAUAAGAGUCCCGUUGCAGAGCAGCCCGAUAGCCAGUCCAGGUUUUACAAUCACUAAUAAGAGUCCCGUUGCAGAGCAGCCCGAUAGCCAGUCCAGGUUUUACAAUCACUAAUAAGAGUCCCGUUGCAGAGCAGCCCGAAGCCAGUCCAGGUUUUACAAUCACUAAUAAGAGUCCCGUUGCCAGUCCAGGUUUUACAAUCACUAAUAAGAGUCCCGUUGCAGAGCAGCCCGAUAGCCAGUCCAGGUUUUACAAUCACUAAUAAGAGUCCCGUUGCAGAGCAGCCCGAUAGCCAGUCCAGGUUUUACAAUCACUAAUAAGAGUCCCGUUGCAGAGCAGCCCGAUAGCCAGUCCAGGUUUUACAAUCACUAAUAAGAGUCCCGUUGCAGAGCAGCCCGAUAGCCAGUCCAGGUUUUACAAUCACUAAUAAGAGUCCCGUUGCAGAGCAGCCCGAAGCCAGUCCAGGUUUUACAAUCACUAAUAAGAGUCCCGUUGCAGAGCAGCCCGAUAGCCAGUCCAGGUUUUACAGUCACUAAUAAGAGUCCCGUUGCAGGGCAGCCUGACAGCCAGUCCAGGUUUUACAAUCACUAAUAAGAGUCCCGUUGCCAGUCCAGGUUUUACAAUCACUAAUAAGAGUCCCGUUGCAGGGCAGCCCGAUAGCCAGUCCAGGUUUUACAAUCACUAAUAAGAGUCCCGUUGCAGAGCAGCCUGACAGCCA